This 483-nucleotide long non-coding RNA is filed under the name Theobroma cacao (cacao). RNAcentral's name for it is "long non-coding RNA (TCAC_LNC001855)". The record is from RNAcentral. Lineage: Eukaryota; Viridiplantae; Streptophyta; Magnoliopsida; Malvales; Malvaceae.
UUCCAACGCCAUUUUCAUGUCAAGUUCAUGAAAAUCAAUUUCUUUCCAUGUGAUUUUCCUUGUUUCUUCUCAUUUCCUUUCUUUUCUUAAUUCUUUCUUCUCCAAACUUCUUGGGUACUAAACCUGAAGCUUUUAACCCUAAUUUCCAGCACAUCGAAACCUUAGGAGAAGAAGAAAGAAAAAGAGAGAAAGGAAGAAAAAGCUUGGUUUUGUAAUUUAAGAAAGCUAAGGUAAGGAUUUUGUGUUUUUAGUUCAUUGUUGGUUAAAUCUUUGGAAAAAUAAUGAGUGAAUCAUUUUGUGGCAGCUAUGGUGGCCAUGGGUGUGAGGGAAUUAUGAAUUUUGUUGGGUGAAAUCUAAGCUAAAACCAAGUGGAAGUGCAAAGGUAAAGUUAGAGUACUGUGGUGGUGUGCCGGGGGAACUAAUGAGCGACCGGCAAGUAGGAAUAGCUAGCUACACCUCCGAACAAAUAGCGAUGUAAUGUCC